RNAcentral lists this transfer RNA (72 nucleotides) under Camelus bactrianus (Bactrian camel). It matches the Rfam family "tRNA". From Rfam's summary of the family: Transfer RNA (tRNA) molecules are approximately 80 nucleotides in length. Their secondary structure includes four short double-helical elements and three loops (D, anti-codon, and T loops). Lineage: Eukaryota; Metazoa; Chordata; Mammalia; Artiodactyla; Camelidae. The record is from Rfam by way of RNAcentral. RNAcentral also lists the same sequence under 1 other name.
GGUAAUAUAGCUCAGUGGUAGAGCGCAUGCUUAGCUUGCGCGAGAUCCUGGGUUCAAUCCCCAGUACCUCCU